RNAcentral lists this transfer RNA (82 nucleotides) under Blastocladiella emersonii. RNAcentral describes it as "tRNA-Leu". It matches the Rfam family "tRNA". Rfam says of the family: Transfer RNA (tRNA) molecules are approximately 80 nucleotides in length. Their secondary structure includes four short double-helical elements and three loops (D, anti-codon, and T loops). The record is from RNAcentral. Lineage: Eukaryota; Fungi; Blastocladiomycota; Blastocladiomycetes; Blastocladiales; Blastocladiaceae.
AUGGGCAUGGCGAAAUUGGUAGACGCAAUUAUUUAAGGUGUAAUCGAUAUAAAUCAUGUGAGUUCAAAUCUCACUGCCCAUA